This 305-nucleotide unclassified non-coding RNA is filed under the name plant metagenome. RNAcentral's name for it is "partial contains 5.8S ribosomal RNA, internal transcribed spacer 2, and large subunit ribosomal RNA". The stretch from base 1 to 105 matches the Rfam family "5.8S ribosomal RNA", at positions 50 to 154 of the family's 154-position model. The record is from RNAcentral.
GAAAUGCGAUAAGUAAUGUGAAUUGCAGAAUUCAGUGAAUCAUCGAAUCUUUGAACGCACAUUGCGCCCGCCAGUAUUCUGGCGGGCAUGCCUGUUCGAGCGUCAUUUCAACCAUCAAGCCCCCGGCUUGUGUUGGGGACCUGCGGCUGCCCGCAGGCCCUGAAAAACAGUGGCGGGCUCGCUGUCACACCGAGCGUAGUAGCAUACAUUCUCGCUCAGGGCGUGCUGCGGGUUCCGGCCGUUAAACGACCUUCAUAACCCAAGGUUGACCUCGGGUCAGGUAGGAAGAUCCGCUGAACUUAAGC